Chlorocebus sabaeus (green monkey) is the source of this 504-nucleotide non-coding RNA. Lineage: Eukaryota; Metazoa; Chordata; Mammalia; Primates; Cercopithecidae. The record is from RefSeq and is a predicted model, not a curated record.
UUCAAGCUGAGAUUUGGGUGGGGACACUGGCAAACCAUAUCAACUGCUGUAACAAGAUGUUCCAGAGUCAUCUUCUACUGCUUCUCUUUUAGACCUGUUACUCAUUUCUUAAAGAUGCCUUUUUGUUUGUUUCUUUUUGUAUCAUUUUGUAUUUUCAUGGGAAAUCUCUUCCAGUGUCUGCUGUCAAGGUGUUCUGCUGUUCUUUACUGUGGAUAUCUGUUGGCUGUUCUAUGGUGUUGCUGUUCUCACCCCGUCAGAUGCCUGGUGGCUUCUCUCUGUUUCCUCCUGCAAAGAUGUCAAUACCAUACAGAGGCAGAAUUUGUUCCAGAGUCUGAGCUGCUGAUUCCCCAAAUGGGGUUAAAUAUUGCAUUGCUCCCCAGCUGGAAACCUGCAGAGACAGAGAAUAAACGAGAGACAAGGAUCUCCCUGCAUUGCCCGGUCUGAAGUGCAGAGGUGCAAUCAUAGCUCUUUGCAAGUCUUGGCUUCCCAGUCUCAGGUGAGCAU